UCCGUAGGUGAACCUGCGGAAGGAUCAUUACAGAAUGAAAAGUGCUUAACUGCAUUUUUUCUUACACAUGUGUUUUUCUUUUUUUGAAAACUUUGCUUUGGUAGGCCUUCUAUAUGGGGCCUGCCAGAGAUUAAACUCAACCAAAUUUUAUUUAAUGUCAACCGAUUAUUUAAUAGUCAAAACUUUCAACAACGGAUCUCUUGGUUCUCGCAUCGAUGAAGAACGCAGCGAAAUGCGAUAAGUAAUAUGAAUUGCAGAUAUUCGUGAAUCAUCGAAUCUUUGAACGCACAUUGCGCCCUUUGGUAUUCCAAAGGGCAUGCCUGUUUGAGCGUCAUUUCUCCCUCAAACCCUCGGGUUUGGUGUUGAGCGAUACGCUGGGUUUGCUUGAAAGAAAGGCGGAGUAUAAACUAAUGGAUAGGUUUUUUCCACUCAUUGGUACAAACUCCAAAACUUCUUCCAAAUUCGACCUCAAAUCAGGUAGGACUACCCGCUGAACUUAAGCAUAUCAAUAAGCGGAGGA
Molecule: ribosomal RNA, 520 nt
Filed under: Lodderomyces parapsilosis
Lineage: Eukaryota; Fungi; Ascomycota; Pichiomycetes; Serinales; Debaryomycetaceae
Description: eukaryotic LSU rRNA
Rfam family: 5.8S ribosomal RNA (bases 181-334)
Source: RNAcentral